RNAcentral lists this ribosomal RNA (255 nucleotides) under uncultured bacterium. RNAcentral's name for it is "partial 16S ribosomal RNA". It matches the Rfam family "Bacterial small subunit ribosomal RNA", at positions 775 to 1028 of the family's 1533-position model. The record is from RNAcentral.
GGAUUAGAUACCCCGGUAGUCCACGCCGUAAACGAUGGAUGCUAGCCGUUGGGCAGCUUGCUGCUCAGUGGCGCAGCUAACGCAUUAAGCAUCCCGCCUGGGGAGUACGGUCGCAAGAUUAAAACUCAAAGGAAUUGACGGGGGCCCGCACAAGCGGUGGAGCAUGUGGCUCAAUUCGACGCAACGCGCAGAACCUUACCAGCUCUUGACAUGGCAGGACGGUUUCCAGAGAUGGAUUCCUCCCCGCAAGGGGCC